RNAcentral lists this ribosomal RNA (405 nucleotides) under Spherillo grossus. Its description in RNAcentral is "partial 16S ribosomal RNA". It matches the Rfam family "Bacterial large subunit ribosomal RNA", at positions 1889 to 2569 of the family's 2925-position model. The record is from RNAcentral. Lineage: Eukaryota; Metazoa; Arthropoda; Malacostraca; Isopoda; Armadillidae.
AUUAGUUCAAGUAGAGCCUGCUCACUGAUCCUUUAAGAGCCGCAGUAUCCUAACUGUGCUAAGGUAGCAUAAUCAUUUGUUAUUUAAUUGAUAACUUGUAUGAAAGGUUUGACGAGAAAUCUACUUUCUAUUUGUUAGUAAAUAAAAAUUAUAUUAAAGUAAAAAAGCUUUAUUGUAUCAAAAAGACGAUAAGACCCUAGAACCUUUAUCUUUAGAUUUUAUUGGGGCGAUAUAGACCUAGACAGAUUAUUAUCUUAACCUUCUGAAGGCCGAUAUUUAACUUCUUUAAAAAAAAAAAGGUACUCUAGGGAUAACAGCAUGAUCCACUUCAAGAGACCUUAUCGACAAGUGGGAUUUUGACCUCGAUGUUGAAUUGAUUCUCUUUUUAAAGCAAAAUUUACUUAA